AGAGUUUGAUCCUGGCUCAGAACGAACGCUGGCGGCGUGCUUAACACAUGCAAGUCGUACGAGAAAGUCCGCUUCGGUGGAUGAGUAAAGUGGCGAACGGGUGAGUAACGCGUGGGUAAUCUACCCUCAUGACCGGGAUAACUUCGCGAAAGCGUAGCUAAUACCGGAUAUCGUCUUUGGGACCACGGUCCUGGAAAUGAAAGAUGGGGAUCUUCGGACCUGUCACAUGAGGAUGAGCCCGCGUACCAUUAGCUAGUUGGCGGGGUAAUGGCCCACCAAGGCUACGAUGGUUAGCUGGUCUGAGAGGAUGACCAGCCACACUGGCACUGAAACACGGGCCAGACUCCUACGGGAGGCAGCAGUGAGGAAUUUUGCGCAAUGGGGGAAACCCUGACGCAGCAACGCCGCGUGAGUGAUGAAGGCCUUCGGGUCGUAAAGCUCUGUCUGGUGGGAAGAAACGUCUGAGGGUGAAUAGUCCUCAGACUUGACGGUACCGCCGAAGGAAGCACCGGCUAACUCCGUGCCAGCAGCCGCGGUAAUACGGAGGGUGCAAGCGUUGUUCGGAAUCAUUGGGCGUAAAGGGCGCGUAGGCGGUCCAGUAAGUCGGAUGUGAAAGCCCUGGGCUCAACCCAGGAAGUGCAUCCGAAACUGCUGGACUUGGAA
RNAcentral lists this ribosomal RNA (663 nucleotides) under uncultured bacterium. RNAcentral's name for it is "bacterial SSU rRNA". It matches the Rfam family "Bacterial small subunit ribosomal RNA", at positions 8 to 647 of the family's 1533-position model. The record is from RNAcentral.